AGCGAACGCUGGCGGCAGGCUUAACACAUGCAAGUCGAGCGGACCUUUCGGGGUCAGCGGCGGACGGGUGAGUAACGCGUGGGAACGUGCCUUCCGGUUCGGAAUAACCCUGGGAAACUAGGGCUAAUACCGGAUACGCCCUUAUGGGGAAAGGUUUACUGCCGGAAGAUCGGCCCGCGUCUGAUUAGCUAGUUGGUGGGGUAACGGCCUACCAAGGCGACGAUCAGUAGCUGGUCUGAGAGGAUGAUCAGCCACACUGGGACUGAGACACGGCCCAGACUCCUACGGGAGGCAGCAGUGGGGAAUAUUGGACAAUGGGCGCAACUUGAUCCAGCCAUGCCGCGUGAGUGAUGAAGGCCUUAGGGUUGUAAAGCUCUUUUAUCCGGGACGAUAAUGACGGUACCGGAGGAAUAAGCCCCGGCUAACUUCGUGC
Molecule: ribosomal RNA, 433 nt
Filed under: Methylobacterium sp. B1
Lineage: Bacteria; Pseudomonadati; Pseudomonadota; Alphaproteobacteria; Hyphomicrobiales; Methylobacteriaceae
Description: bacterial SSU rRNA
Rfam family: Bacterial small subunit ribosomal RNA
Source: RNAcentral